Molecule: ribosomal RNA, 476 nt
Filed under: uncultured organism
Description: partial 16S ribosomal RNA
Rfam family: Bacterial small subunit ribosomal RNA
Source: RNAcentral
ACGUACACUCCUGCGGGAGGCAGCAGUGGGGAAUUUUGGACAAUGGGCGAAAGCCUGAUCCAGCCAUGCCGCGUGCAGGAUGAAGGCCUUCGGGUUGUAAACUGCUUUUGUACGGAACGAAUCGGCCUUUUCUAAUAAAGAGGGCUAAUGACGGUACCGUAAGAAUAAGCACCGGCUAACUACGUGCCAGCAGCCGCGGUAAUACGUAGGGUGCAAGCGUUAAUCGGAAUUACUGGGCGUAAAGCGUGCGCAGGCGGUUAUGUAAGACAGUUGCGAAAUCCCCGGGCUCAACCUGGGAACUGCAUCUGUGACUGCAUAGCUAGAGUACGGUAGAGGGGGAUGGAAUUCCGCGUGUAGCAGUGAAAUGCGUAGAUAUGCGGAGGAACACCGAUGGCGAAGGCAAUCCCCUGGACCUGUACUGACGCUCAUGCACGAAAGCGUGGGGAGCAAACAGGAUUAGAAACCCCAGUAGUCCC